UCCGGUGUGGUCUAGUGGCUAGGAUACCUGGCUCUCACCCAGGAGGCCCGGGUUCGAUUCCUGGUACCGGAA
Non-coding RNA from Schistocerca cancellata (South American locust), 72 nucleotides. The record is from the annotation of a RefSeq genome assembly. NCBI's taxonomy places the organism in Eukaryota, Metazoa, Arthropoda, Insecta, Orthoptera, Acrididae.